GCCUCAGUAACGGCGAGUGAAGCGGCAAAAGCUCAAAUUUGAAAUCUGGCUCUUUCAGAGUCCGAGUUGUAAUUUGUAGAGGAUGCUUCGGCUUACGUUUCGGUCUAAGUUCCUUGGAACAGGACGUCACAGAGGGUGAGAAUCCCGUUUGUGGCCGAGACUUCCGCCAUGUGAAGCUCCUUCGACGAGUCGAGUUGUUUGGGAAUGCAGCUCUAAAUGGGAGGUAAAUUUCUUCUAAAGCUAAAUACCGGCCAGAGACCGAUAGCGCACAAGUAGAGUGAUCGAAAGAUGAAAAGCACUUUGGAAAGAGAGUUAAAAAGUACGUGAAAUUGUUGAAAGGGAAGCGCUUGCGACCAGACUUGCCCGCGGAUGCUCAACCGGUCCUUCGGCCGGUGCACUCUUCCGCGGUCAGGCCAGCAUCAGUUCGAGCGGUUGGAUAAAGGCUUUGGGAAUGUGGCUCUCUUCGGGGAGUGUUAUAGCCCUUUGUGUAAUACAGCCUGCUUGGACUGAGGCCCGCGCUUCGGCUAGGAUGCUGGCGUAAUGGUCGUAAGCGGCCCGUCUUGAAACACGGACCAAGGAGUCUAACAUCUAUGCGAGUGUUUGGGUGUCAAACCCGUACGCGAAAUGAAAGUAAACGGAGGUGGGAAUCUUCGGAUGCACCAUCGACCGAUCCUGAUGUCUUCGGAUGGAUUUGAGUAAGAGCAUAGCUGUUGGGACCCGAAAGAUGGUGAACUAUGCCUGAAUAGGGUGAAGCCAGAGGAAACUCUGGUGGAGGCUCGCAGCGGUUCUGACGUGCAAAUCGAUCGUCAAAUUUGGGUAUAGGGGCGAAAGACUAAUCGAACCAUUAAAAAAACAAAGAAAGGAACCUUUUUCUCUUUUUUUGCUACUAGGUGGUUAAGAGGCAGCUAAAAGUGUCUGUCUAGUCCCUCCAUUCGGGGCCACACCGUCAAAUUGCGGGGACUUCCUUAGAGCCUGACUACCG
Molecule: ribosomal RNA, 982 nt
Filed under: Helicomyces sp. SB-2016a
Lineage: Eukaryota; Fungi; Ascomycota; Dothideomycetes; Tubeufiales; Tubeufiaceae
Description: eukaryotic LSU rRNA
Rfam family: Eukaryotic large subunit ribosomal RNA
Source: RNAcentral